AGGGGGUGACGCCGGCAUCGCAUACUUACCCAACACUCCUGUUCGGUGCGACGGUGGAAUCUCACAUACUUCAGGGUCAUUCACCCUUUGCGGCGGCACUGAUUGCACCUCGGACACAUCCGCAGCAGGUGUAUCAGCUAUGGAGAUGACUACUUUCUUCAGAUACCCAUGGCCAGGAUUGACGUUUAGAGUAGGCAGUACAGGUUGUGGAUGAAGAAUAGGAUUUUUAUCAGGGUUGACAGAAUUUUGCGAAAGUGCGUGAGCUUGGCAUUCACUCUCCCAGAUAAAUUGGAAGCAGCUAAAGUCCUAGCAGCUAAAGCUAAAUUAAUAUACAAUUAAUACUGCUGACAAUAUACCCAUACAAAACAGGUUAAAUUUUCUCCGGUUUUUAAGGAUGAAAUAAUGAAGUAAGUAAUUUUCUUCUCCGCGACGAUAUAAUUGAACCAUUAGUUUCUUCUUACAAUUCUCCACUCUGAAUGGUGCCAAAAAAUCUAAUUCAUCCGGAAAACCACGGUGGAGAAUGGUUAUUAAUUGCAGGAAGUUAAACGAAAAAACUGUGGCAGAUGUAAUAUUUCAGUAAGUAAUAUUUCAGUUAGAUCUCGCCUCAGGUUUUCACCAAAUUCCCAUGGACAUCACAUCCAAACCCAAAACGGCCUUCUCCAUUCCUCAUAGCCAUUACGAAUUUAAUCGUAUGCCAUUUAGCUUAAAAAAUGCUUCCGCAACCUUUUAGAGAGUUAUGGACGUAAUAUUAUCUGGACUUCAAGGUAUAGAACUUUUAGUUCAUAUAGAUGAUAUUAUCAUCUAUGCGGUUUCGCUUAAGGAGCAUACUUCGAAAUUAAGAAAUCUUUUGGCUCGGUUACUGUUUUUUCGUAAAUUCCUACGACUUGUUACGGAGGUAGGUAAUACUGAGGUUUGAAGUCGAAGUAAAUAAAAAAAAAUACAAGAGUUUUAAUCAUAAAAAAUAACGAUUUAAUUACUAGUGAAAAUGAAACUGUAUGAACUUUGAAACAAGAACGCGGGAUUAUAAUGUUUCCUGGUUGGAAGAGAUUAUAAUGUUUCUUUUCUGAGUUUUUUGGUAUAACUAACUAACAACUUUUCUGUUUGCGUACACGAAAAGUUUGUACUUCCGCCUCUUCGCCUGAUCAGUCAUUUUCCUAAACCAAUCGAAUUUAGGCAUCACUGACCUAUCCCUACUUCCUGCGUCUGAAACGCGAUUUGUAAGAAGUAGGAAGUAUCAGAGGUGAAAGACGUAACUGUAAAUGUUAAACAAUAUUUGAUGGAGUUUCCACUGGGUAUGAGUGCCGAUUACUUGACGGGAAUGACGGCCAUCACGGUCAAUUUGGAGAUCUUUCGGAAACUUCAAAAAAUCUAAAAUAUACAAACUGCCGUAUUAAGUAAUAAACUGACUCUCAAAAACGGUCUUGUUGAUUUGCGUGCAAUAAGCAUGCUGGCAAUUUGUAGUUUGGGUACUGUCCCUGGUACAAAUUGCUAGCCAUCUGGAAUUUGUAAAAAUGUAAAAUAAAAAUAAAUCCUAAUAUAUUAUAUUUCGUGGAGAUGUCACGAAACACCUCCCUUACAGGUUUGAAUCGUUCGAUCGGUCGUGUCUAUGUGUCUCCGUCUCUUCUGCUCCGACUCUUCCUCUUCUCCUCCUCAUUGUCUUCUUGCGCAAUAACAAGCUGCCUGGAUCCUUUAAUAUAUUUUUUAACUCUUCGUCGUUUUUGUUGCGUUGAAUAUUUACAUUCUUCCUCGAGAAAUGAAUCAACAAGGUGGUUGGACAGCCAAGCAACUUCCGCCUAGAAAACCGGCGAUGCCUAGGAAUGCCAGACGAAUGUCUGCCUUUAAUUACCGCAAAUACCUGGAAGCACUGAUGCCCGCGAAUUGGGCAGAUGACCGCCAGCCAGUACCACCUGCAGGACCCUCCAAACCGCGGGUGAUGAAUGACAAACAGAAACAGUGGGUCACUUAGAUGGAAGAUCACGCCUCGCCAAGGAACCGACUCUACUCCACCGGCACAA
Long non-coding RNA from Megachile rotundata (alfalfa leafcutting bee), 2015 nucleotides. Lineage: Eukaryota; Metazoa; Arthropoda; Insecta; Hymenoptera; Megachilidae. The record is from RefSeq and is a predicted model, not a curated record.